Non-coding RNA from Punica granatum (pomegranate), 1081 nucleotides. The record is from RefSeq and is a predicted model, not a curated record. Lineage: Eukaryota; Viridiplantae; Streptophyta; Magnoliopsida; Myrtales; Lythraceae.
CCUCUCCCCAUCGUUCAGUUCACCUCCGCCUCUGCGAUCUUCAAAUCAAACCUACACAUCAAUAUGCCUCCCCCGCCUCCCCCGCAAUCGGUCUCUAUGCCUUGAAGGGCAGCAGCAAGGCUUCAAUCAAAGCCUUGGUGCUUCGAUUCGGGGCACAAGGAGCCCCUGUUCCUAGCCUCCGAGGAGGGAGGGAGGAAAAAAAAAAAAACGAAAGAGGAUGGGACGGAAGGGGCCGACAAUGUAGGAGGCUCCGGAGCUUGACGUGAGGUGGCGAGGAGGUGAGGGCCCCGUAGAUCUCGAAGUUCUUGUUGGCGUUGAGGAGGCUGCAGAGCUCAACGAGAGGUGGCAAGGAGGUCGGAGCAAGAGGAGUGUCCUUGUUGGGGACGAAGACGGCCUUGGUGUGGGGUAGGGGUUGUCGAACGAGAAGGCGGGGUCGGGGCAGAUCUCGCCGAAUCGAAGGAGAAGGCUGGUUUGAGUCGAUGAGCAGUGGAGAGGGUAAAGAAGAAGAAGAUGAACAGUGAACGCGCAAGGAGAGAGAGAAGGGAGUGGGACAAAAUUGAAAAAUUUUAAAAAAUUUGAGUCGUUUUGAAAUUUUAAAAAGUUUGUAAUAAAGUUAAAACGAAAUCUAACGGAGAAACGGAGUGGGCAGAGAUCUCAGAGCCUUGUCUUGAUGGGGUUGUACUCUCACCCAAGCCAGUGAUUGAAGAGUCGCAGCAGCGAAAGACAAAUUUCUUUUCCGGCGUGCUAAAGCUCUUUUGAGAGAGAGUUCACCCGGCAAAUGUGCAAUGUCCUACUGAUUGCAGGGAAACUUCGACAAACCUGUGCUCAUGGGUUCGAGAGACCACUCUAUGGAUGUGGUGGCUGGAUGAACAGAAGCAGCAGCAACAUCUUCAACGUGCACAAACAACAAGAGAUGGCUCUAAAGUCUUUGGGGAGACAUAUUCAACUGGCUAGUGGAACACAACACGAAGUGCGAAACAGAGUUAAAACGACAAAACUCACCAGCAUGAGGCGACGAAGCUGUGGAACACAACACGAAAUUGCAGGGGCAUGUACUGAUAAUUGAUCCAACCGACAAUGG